AAAGUCGUAACAAGGUUUCCGUAGGUGAACCUGCGGAAGGAUCAUUAAAGUUAUAGUCCCCCGGCCCUCUGGGCUGGGGUCUUCUAUACCACCCUUUGUUUAUUACACCUUUGUUGCUUUGGCAGGCCUGCCCUCGGGCUGCUGGCUCCGGCCGGCUCGCGUCUGCCAGAGGACCUAAACUCUGUUUGUAUAUGAAGUCUGAGUACUAUAUAAUAGUUAAAACUUUCAACAACGGAUCUCUUGGUUCUG
Molecule: unclassified non-coding RNA, 249 nt
Filed under: Ascomycota sp.
Lineage: Eukaryota; Fungi; Ascomycota
Description: partial contains small subunit ribosomal RNA, internal transcribed spacer 1, and 5.8S ribosomal RNA
Rfam family: Eukaryotic small subunit ribosomal RNA (bases 1-47)
Source: RNAcentral